Molecule: ribosomal RNA, 329 nt
Filed under: Nonionella sp. T1
Lineage: Eukaryota; Foraminifera; Rotaliida; Nonionidae
Description: SSU rRNA
Rfam family: Eukaryotic small subunit ribosomal RNA
Source: RNAcentral
GGAUUGACAGGUAACGUUAUACACACAUAUAUAUUUACUCUCGGGUAUUUGUACUUCGCUGUGUAUAUAUAAAAUAUGCUAGUCCUUUCAUGAUUAUGUGAUAGGUGGUGCAUGGCCGUUCUUAGUUCGUGGAGUGAUCUGUCUGCUUAAUUGCGUUUCACUAAGGAUCUAUAUUCAUAUUACGCAUAGCAUUUUGACCCCUUUAUGCUUCGGUAUAAAGCUGCGCGUCAAACCUUGCUAUCUGCGUAUAUUAGAUCCUGAAAGCAACGAACGUGACCGCAACCUCUUGUUGCCUUUAACUAGGUUUUGCUUACGUAUAGCUUCGGCUU